Molecule: long non-coding RNA, 1219 nt
Organism: Cyprinus carpio (common carp)
Lineage: Eukaryota; Metazoa; Chordata; Actinopteri; Cypriniformes; Cyprinidae
Source: Ensembl
GACCGAGCAGACGGCUCGUGCCAUUGGCCGGUCUAUGUCAGCUUUAGUCAGCACGGAGAGGCAUCUGUGGCUUAAUUUGACGGGCUCCAUCUGGCCUGUUUGGCGAUUUGGUUAAUACGGUUGUCAACAGGUUUAGGGAAGUAAAGAAACAUGAAGAAGCGUUCGUUCAGUUUCUUCCUCGCCACACUCAAGGGGAGGGGCCAUCAGCCACCCAGCCUCGCCCCGGUCCUUCAAAAACCAGGGAGGUUAAAAAGCAGAGCGUGGCGAACUGUGCUCCCCCUCGUAGGGACUGGGGACAGGUUCGCCCUGUUCAGCAACCUCCCAAGCCAGACCUCAGGACUAUCAUUAAUAAGAAGAGGAAGUCCUGACGCUCUGGCGCCCGUGCUGGUGGGGGUAGUCCCUCACGAGGUGGUGCGCGCUCGAGAGCUUUUCGCCCCGCCCCGUUACCCUCACAAAACCCCUCCAUCCCCACCGCUUCUUGUGCUGUGGGGGGCGGUGGUUUCUAGCGAGAUAAUAGAUGUUCCAGUGUUUCCUGCCGUCAUUCAGGACACGGAACAUCUAACAUCCCCUCAAAAGGAAGUGUUAAAAUUGGUACCACUCUCAGAGAGUCUGACAGCGUGGAAACUUCUGCCGGGCAUUUCUGCCUGGGUGUUGAGCACAAUACGGAUAGGAUACAGGAUCCAAUUUAUUCGUCAUCCUCCACGUUUCAACGGCAUGAUCUCUACUUCCGUGAAACUGGAGCUGAUGCAGGUACUGUCUCAAGAGCUACAAACUCUUCUGGGCAAAGAGGCCAUAGAACAUGUUCCUCUUCCAAGGAGAGAGUCGGGCUAUUACAGCAGAUACUUCCUGGUUCCCAAAAAGGGUGGGGGAGUGCGUCCAAUCUGGGAUCUUCAAUGCUUAAACCAUACAGUCCAAGCACUCAAGUUCAACAUGUUAACCGUCAAGACGGUCGUGUCACAAAUUCGGCAUCGCGAUUGGUUCAUCACGAUCGAUCUGAAGGACGCAUAUUUUCAUAUAGAAAUUUUGCCACAACACAGGAAAUUCCUGAGGUUCGCUUUCGGGGGUGAAGCAUACCAGUUUCGGGUUCUUUCAUUCGGCCUAGCCUUAUCACCCCGCACGUACACACAAUGCAUGGAUGCAGCAGGGCAUUCGCAUUUUGAAUUAUAUCGACGAUUGGCUGAUACUGGCACAAUCGUGAGAGAUGAUGCUACAACACAGG